Molecule: ribosomal RNA, 253 nt
Filed under: uncultured bacterium
Lineage: Bacteria
Description: partial 16S ribosomal RNA
Rfam family: Bacterial small subunit ribosomal RNA
Source: RNAcentral
UACGAGUGCCCCGAGCGUUAUCCGGAAUUAUUGGGCGUAAAGGGUGUGUAGGCGGUCAUAUUAGUCUUUUGUUAAAUUCUUCGGCUUAACCGGGGGCAUGCAAAGGAAACGGUAUGACUCGAGGAUGCGAGAGGUGAAUGGAACUCAUGGAGUAGGGGUGAAAUCCGUUGAUAUCAUGGGGAACACCAAAAGCGAAGGCAAUUCACUGGCGCACUCCUGACGCUGAAACACGAAAGCGUAGGUAGCGAAUGGG